Molecule: ribosomal RNA, 1412 nt
Filed under: Enterococcus durans
Lineage: Bacteria; Bacillati; Bacillota; Bacilli; Lactobacillales; Enterococcaceae
Description: bacterial SSU rRNA
Rfam family: Bacterial small subunit ribosomal RNA
Source: RNAcentral
CAGUCGUACGCUUCUUUUUCCCCGGAGCUUGCUCCACCGGAAAAAGAAGAGUGGCGAACGGGUGAGUAACACGUGGGUAACCUGCCCAUCAGAAGGGGAUAACACUUGGAAACAGGUGCUAAUACCGUAUAACAAUCGAAACCGCAUGGUUUUGAUUUGAAAGGCGCUUUCGGGUGUCGCUGAUGGAUGGACCCGCGGUGCAUUAGCUAGUUGGUGAGGUAACGGCUCACCAAGGCUACGAUGCAUAGCCGACCUGAGAGGGUGAUCGGCCACAUUGGGACUGAGACACGGCCCAAACUCCUACGGGAGGCAGCAGUAGGGAAUCUUCGGCAAUGGACGAAAGUCUGACCGAGCAACGCCGCGUGAGUGAAGAAGGUUUUCGGAUCGUAAAACUCUGUUGUUAGAGAAGAACAAGGAUGAGAGUAACUGUUCAUCCCUUGACGGUAUCUAACCAGAAAGCCACGGCUAACUACGUGCCAGCAGCCGCGGUAAUACGUAGGUGGCAAGCGUUGUCCGGAUUUAUUGGGCGUAAAGCGAGCGCAGGCGGUUUCUUAAGUCUGAUGUGAAAGCCCCCGGCUCAACCGGGGAGGGUCAUUGGAAACUGGGAGACUUGAGUGCAGAAGAGGAGAGUGGAAUUCCAUGUGUAGCGGUGAAAUGCGUAGAUAUAUGGAGGAACACCAGUGGCGAAGGCGGCUCUCUGGUCUGUAACUGACGCUGAGGCUCGAAAGCGUGGGGAGCAAACAGGAUUAGAUACCCUGGUAGUCCACGCCGUAAACGAUGAGUGCUAAGUGUUGGAGGGUUUCCGCCCUUCAGUGCUGCAGCUAACGCAUUAAGCACUCCGCCUGGGGAGUACGACCGCAAGGUUGAAACUCAAAGGAAUUGACGGGGGCCCGCACAAGCGGUGGAGCAUGUGGUUUAAUUCGAAGCAACGCGAAGAACCUUACCAGGUCUUGACAUCCUUUGACCACUCUAGAGAUAGAGCUUCCCCUUCGGGGGCAAAGUGACAGGUGGUGCAUGGUUGUCGUCAGCUCGUGUCGUGAGAUGUUGGGUUAAGUCCCGCAACGAGCGCAACCCUUAUUGUUAGUUGCCAUCAUUCAGUUGGGCACUCUAGCAAGACUGCCGGUGACAAACCGGAGGAAGGUGGGGAUGACGUCAAAUCAUCAUGCCCCUUAUGACCUGGGCUACACACGUGCUACAAUGGGAAGUACAACGAGUCGCGAAGUCGCGAGGCUAAGCUAAUCUCUUAAAGCUUCUCUCAGUUCGGAUUGUAGGCUGCAACUCGCCUACAUGAAGCCGGAAUCGCUAGUAAUCGCGGAUCAGCACGCCGCGGUGAAUACGUUCCCGGGCCUUGUACACACCGCCCGUCACACCACGAGAGUUUGUAACACCCGAAGUCGGUGAGGUAACCUUUG